Molecule: non-coding RNA, 157 nt
Filed under: Devosia sp.
Lineage: Bacteria; Pseudomonadati; Pseudomonadota; Alphaproteobacteria; Hyphomicrobiales; Devosiaceae
Description: 6S RNA
Rfam family: 6S / SsrS RNA
About the family: E. coli 6S RNA was the first non coding RNA to be sequenced, but its function was unknown until recently. It consists of 184 nucleotides that fold into an extended hairpin structure with a large single-stranded internal bulge.
Source: RNAcentral
GGGCUGCUGCCCGGUUCGUGCCGGAUCUUUACUCUUGGGGCCUUACGUUCCUUAAGGGAGCUGUCCCUGACCAGGCUCGUGGGCCUGGAUAUACGGUGCCCACCUACUUUUGUAGGUUCCCAAGGAUCAGCGAUCCCACGGCCGUGGCGGCAUCCUU